This 450-nucleotide ribosomal RNA is filed under the name uncultured bacterium. RNAcentral describes it as "partial 16S ribosomal RNA". It matches the Rfam family "Bacterial small subunit ribosomal RNA", at positions 354 to 796 of the family's 1533-position model. The record is from RNAcentral.
GUGGGGAAUAUUGGACAAUGGGCGAAAGCCUGAUCCAGCCAUGCCGCGUGUGUGAAGAAGGUCUUCGGAUUGUAAAGCACUUUAAGUUGGGAGGAAGGGUAGUAACCUAAUACGUUGCUACUUUGACGUUACCGACAGAAUAAGCACCGGCUAACUUCGUGCCAGCAGCCGCGGUAAUACGAAGGGUGCAAGCGUAAAUCGGCAUUACUGGGCGUAAAGCGCGCGUAGGUGGUUCAGUAAGUUGGAAGUGAAAUCCCCGGGCUCAACCUGGGAACUGCUUUCAAAACUGCUGAGCUAGAGUACGGUAGAGGGUGGUGGAAUUUCCUGUGUAGCGGUGAAAUGCGUAAAUAUAGGAAGGAACACCAGUGGCGAAGGCGACCACCUGGACUGAUACUGACACUGAGGUGCGAAAGCGUGGGGAGCAAACAGGAUUAGAUACCCGAGUAGUCC